AGACAUCUGCGCAUAGUGAAAAUCAAUUCUCAGAGACCAAAAUUGCCAAGCAUACGUGACGGAACUGUAGGGAAAAAGGGCAUAACUUUAAUCUUCAAAGAAGCUUAAAAAUAGCUCCACAGUUAUUAUGCAUGAGGCCUGACAAUUGACAUUUCUCAUUUUGGCAGCAUUCACCUACAGCACCCUAUCAGCAACUGAACACAUUCAUCUCUGGAAUAAAUGAUUAAUGAGCUGCCUAUCAUUUCCACUCCUUUUGUACCAAGUGGUGGAGGCUUCAGUUGAUCAUAUUGCAGCCAUCAACAUCAUUACUGAAAUUGAUUCUGCCACUAGAGGGUUGUGCUAGGAUCAUCAAUUAGCAUUUAAAUUAAAAAGUUAUGGCAUUAAAAAUAACAAAAAAAUAAUCCCUUCUGAGUCACUCUGUCAGACCUGGUAAGGUGAUUUUGUUUUUUUGCUCAUCAGACAGCAUCACAAAACCUUAGAUUGAGGAAGGAAGCAUGGAAGGAUUGUUUUUGUUUCAAGAACAACCCUCUAAGAUUUCCAAACUUUUUAUUAAUCACUGUCAUGUUCCUUGAAAUGCAGAUUUAUGAAAUGCUACAAUUUGCAUUCAAUAGUGACCAAUGAAGUUGCCAAAUUAUUUCCUUCAGACAAAAAGUCAAAGGAUAGAGUUAGGCAUUUUUGAAAGGUCAGAAUUUAUCCAGAAAGGGGGAAGUUAGAGGAAGGAGAUUUACAAAUGAUACUGAGAUACAGCAAAAUAAAGUUUUUCUUAUAUUUCAGCAGGCAGAUGUGAGAAUGAAGUGAAAAGAACAUCAUCAUUUAGAUGUCGGGAUGAUGUGGGCUGCAUUUCUAAAACAGAUGGCAGAUAAUGUGGGUCUCCAUAGUCCUACAAAAAAGUGACAGAUUGUAGUUUUGGUAAAAUGAUACAUCAAGGAAAAUGAAUGGUACUUGGAAUAGGUAUUUUAGCAUCUCUUUCUGCUCCUGGGACCAAGUUCCUCAAGUUCUCAAUAUUACUGAGCUUAAACUCCUUCCUCAUCUAUGUUCAUCUUCCAGCAUGGCUUUCUCCUAUUUCCUCAUUGUUUCCUCUCUCUUCCCCUGUUGAAUUUCAAAUUCAAAUAUAAACAGUUGGUUUUGGUUUUAUCUGCCUCUGAAUUAAGACACUACCUUUACUACAUUGUAUUGGUCACCCAAUUGAAGUGCAUGUGCAUUUUCUUCAGAGCUGAGACGCAUUGAUUAUACAACAAAAUGGAGCUAUCAUAGGUCCUCAAUCCAGCUGCUCUGUCCUAUACUUGAUUAAUAUUCUUUCCACAAUCUGUUGGUAGUGGUAUUGUGACUUUUCAUUUCUGUCUUUGUGAAAUUUUAAGAAGAAGCUAACAAAGGCUGCUUUGAGGACUGCUAAGUAGAGGACAUUUUUACCUAACAUUGAUUAAUGUAGAUAGCUGAGACUUACUUGUAUUUUGAAAAAUGGGAAGAAAAUGGUCAUGGUAAGAAGCACUGGGUGAUAAGAAAAACACAUAGUAACAAGAUUUCUACAUGUGAGCCAAUAGCAAACUUCCUCUAUGUGUUAAAAUUCUCCAAUGAGAAAUACAGCAACUCGUUUCAGACACCAUGAGAUGGACAGGUUAGGCCAAGUUGUGCUUGACCUAGUGGUGAAUGACCACACACUUCUUUACCUUUGGCACAAGUGGUUCAUCAAUCUCCCACUUUCCCUCAGAUCCUUUUUCAGCGUAGUAUUCUAGGCACCAACUGCCAACUGGCCAGUGUUCACCUGUUUGUCAUUUUCAGCUUAACUACCAAUUUGGACAAUUGGAGAGGUAUUCGAACCGGAUGGUAAAGCUGAAAUUAGAUCUCAAGUCUCUUCACUGAAGUCUAGUACUCUUAUAUUUCAUAGACAAUGAACUGGACCAGAUGAAUUCUUCUGUUAGUAUGAUGUAUAUCAUAUGAACUUCCAAUAAUUUUAAAGCUAACUUUUUAUUAUAAAAAUGAUACAGGCUCAUGGUAAAGUCACUGUGGGAAACAGUAUGGUGUUUCUUCAAAAAAUUAAAAAUAAAAUUACCAGGCAGAUGUGGUGGCUCACACCUGUAAUCCCAGCACUUGGAGAGGCCAUGGUGGGAGGAUUGCUUGAGCCUAGGAGUUCAAGACCAGCCUGGGCAACACAGCGAGGUCCCAACUCUACAAAAACAAAUUCCAAAAAUUAGUUGGGCAUGGUGGAGCAUACCUGUAGUCUCGGCUGAAGCAGAAGGAUCACUUGAGCCCAGGAGUUCAAGGCUUCAACAAGCCAUGCUUGUGCCAAUGCACUCCAGCCUGCGUGAUAGAGUGAGACCCUGUCUCAAAAAAAAAGAAAAAAAAAGAAAGAAAAAGGAAUUACCAUAUGAUCCAGCAAUUGCACUUCUGGGUAUAUACUUAAAAUAAUUGAAAGCAAUCUUUUGAAAUGGUCUCAAAGAGUUAUUUGUGUACCAAUAUUUAUAGCAGCAUUAUUCACGAUAGUUAAAAUGUGAAAGCAACUCAAGUGUCCUGGACAGAUGAAUAAGGAAAAUGUGGUAUACAUAUUCAAAGCAAUAUUAUUCAGCCUUAUAAAGAAAGGAGCUGGAUAUGGUGGCUCACGCCUGAAAUCCCGACACUUUGGGUGGCUGAGGUAGGAGGAUUGCUUGAGGCUGGGAGUUCAAGAAGAGCCUGGGCAACAUGGUGAGAUCCCAUGUCUACACAAAAUACAAAACUGGGCCAGACAUGGUGGCACAUGCCUGUAGUCUUAGCUACUCGGGAGGCUGAGGUGGAAGGAUUGCUUGAACCUGAGAGGUGAAAGCUGCAGUGAGCUAUGAUCACACCACUGCAAUACAGCCUGAGUGACAGAUUAAGACCCUGACAAAAAAAAAAAAGGAAAUUCUGAUAUGCUGAAACAUGAAUAAAUUUUGAGGAUAUUAUGCUAAGCAAAAUAAUCUAACCAAAAAGACAAAUACUUUAUGAUUCCACCUGUAUAAGGUACUUAGAUUGGUCAAAAUCAUAGAAAGAGAAAAUAGAAAGGUGGUAGCCAGAGACUAGAGGGGAGGGAAUGGGGAGUUACUGUUUAAUGGAUACUGAGUUUCAGUUUUACACAAUGAAAUGAGUUUUGGAGAUGGAUGGUGGUGAUAGUUGCACAUAAUUAUGAAUGUAUUUAAUAUCAUUGAAUUGUAUGCUUAAAAAAGGUUAAGUUGGUAAAUUUUAUAUUAUACGUAUUUUGCCACAAUAAAAAAUUGGGAAAAAAUGCAGGCUUAUCACAAGAAAAAAAAAUUACAUAAAGUAUAAAGUGGAAGUAAAUAUCUUCUUAGCAGUUUGCCCCAUUAUCUUCCUGCUCUAUGUGUCACCUCCCUAAACGCCAACUCUCACUUUCUAGGAAAAGCUGCUUUAAAGUCUGUACACAUGUAAGGAAAUGUUCUUUACAUAAACCACAUCUGGCUGUGUUUGUCUGCGUUCAUCUUUGCCUCUCUCUCUUUGCCUGGAUAAGAUCAUACUGCAUAAACUCUCCUCUAAUGGUUUUUUCCUAUCUAAAAUAUGUAUUUUGAAGAGUUUCCCUUAUUAGCCUAUAUAUAUCUAAUUUUUAAAAACUGACUGAAUGGUGUGUGAUUAGAUGUCUAUAUCUCCCAUUGAUAGAAAUGUAGGGUAUUUCCAUUCGUUUUUACAAAUGAUACUGCAGUGAGCAUCUUUGAGUAUAAAUCUUUGGGUACUUGUGAGUGAGUUAAUUUCUCAGAUAAAUUAGGUGGAAUUAUGAGCCAAAAGUUAUGUGUAUUUUACAUUUUGAUAGAUAUUGACAAAUAGCCCUCCAAAAGUUGAACUAAUUAUCUCCCUAUAAACUAAACAGCAUAGGAAAGUGCCUGUUUUCCCAACACCUUCAACGCUAAGCAUUAUAAAAUUUCUACUUAUAGCCAUGUAGUAGAUGAAAAUAUUGAAAAUAUUUUAAUUUACAUAUAUUCAAUUCUGAAUGAGGUUAAACAUAGAUUUUAUAUGACUAUUCACUGUUUGUAUUUAUUUACAAUGCACUGCUUGUUCAUUUCCAUGCUCAAUUUUAAUGGUGUUUACUUUGAGGAAAAAAAAACACCUAUAUGGAAAAGCCCUGAAUUAUAUGUAAUUCCCUCUUUCUACACCUUUUCUGCUAUAAUUUGAAAGUUAGCUUUGGUCAGUUUUUUCACUGUCACUGUUUCUUUCCUCCCUCUCCUCCCUCUCCUCCCUUCCUCCCUUCCUCCUUUCCUUUCUUCCUUCCUUCCUUGACAGGGUCUUGCUAUAUUGCCCAGGCUGGAGUGCAGUGGCUAUUCACAGGUGUGAUCCUAGUGCACUACAGCUUUGAACUCCUGUCUCAGCCUCCUUAGCCGCUGGGAGUACAGGUGCAUGCCACUGCACCCAGUGCCUUGUUUCUUUUAUGAUAAUCAUUUCUCUUUCAAUGUUUAACCAGAUUCUCCACACCUUGACAGCAAUUAGGGUGAGGAGGACUAAUAGUACUGCCAAAGGCCCCUGAUGGUCUUGUUUCAGAGAUAAUUUUUGUUACAACAUUGCUUAGCCCAUUAUGCUUUAUAAUCUUCUUGUCAGUAACUGUGUGUCCUUGGUAUUCAUCUUGUUUCUCAGUCAUUUCUACUAUAGAAAGAAUCAUAUUUUCGAGAAUAACAAAAUGUCUGAUACCCUGUUUUCAGGAUACCUUCAUAUACUAACAGACCAAAGUGACUGGACUUGGCCAAUUCAGUUACAAUGAAUCCUAUUGAAAAAUGAACCUGGUUUACCUGAGGGCUAACCAUUCAGGAACAACUGUUUAUCAUGAAGACUUUUUAGUUUAAUUUUCAAAUAGGAAAUGUAUUCACGUGUGUAUUAGGUUCUCCAGAGAAGCAGAACCAGUAGGAUACACACACACACACACACACACACGGGGAUUAUGGGAACUGACUUCAUGACUAUAGAGGCUGAGAAGUCCCAGGAUGCGCCAUCUGCAAGCUGAAGAAUGAGGACAGCCAGUGGUGCAAUUCAGUCCAAUUCCGAGGUCCUGAGAACCAGGGUAGCCAAUGAUAUAUCUCUCAGCUGAAGGCAUGAGAACAUGUGUGUGUGCGUGUGUCUGUGUCUGUGUGUGCGUUGGGGGGUGCAAGUCCUGGAGUCCAAAGGUCCAAGAACCAAGAGCUUUGAUGUCCAAAAACAGGAGAAGAUGGAUGUUCAGGCUCAAGAAUAGAAAAAUUCAUUCUUCAUCCACCUUUCUGUUUUAUCCUGGCACUCAAUAGACUGGAUGAUGUCCACUCACAUAGGUGAGGCUGGAUUAUCUUUACUCAGUCUACUGAUUCAAAUGUGAAUCUCUUCUGGAAACAUCCUCACAGACACACCCAGAAAUAAUGUCUUACCAACUAUCUGGGCAUCCGUUAGCCCAGCCAGGUUGACACAUACAAUUAACCACCACAACGUGGCUCAAAAGUCAAGAAGUAUAAAGAAAACAAAGUGAAAAGGUUUUUUUUUCAUCCCCAUCCAUUAUCUUCCAGUUUCCCCACCCUAUCCUCAUGGAGUUUGUAGUAUAUUGAACAGGUAGACCACCAAGAAAUUAUAAUAAGGUACAUUCAGUCUUCUCAUUAUCAGUAAUUUUUUACUACGUUUCUGGGUUCUGGGAGGAGGGUGUUACAGAAUGCUGAGCUGGGAAGCUUCAAUCAUGAGAUUUUAAUAUUUAUCAAUGAAGGGUUUAAAAAGAUGGAGAAUGAGUUAAAGGAAUUAACUGCCACAGAGAAAAAUAAAGUGGUCCCUUGUCCUACAUCUUGGAAUCUCUAUUGCGAUAAUUGCUAUGUGUGUGGCAACUUCCUGGAGGUUACUUAUUAAAAAUGUACCCUGAAGUAAUUCAUAUGUGUCAUGCUAAUGCCCUGUCCACUUCUUACUAAAAUGUAUGGGUUAAAAUUAACAGUAAUACUUUUGUCUGGAUACUGAAUCCAACUAAGUAGAAAUUACUCAUUUCUAAGUUGUAAUGUAUUGUAUAUAAAUGUAACAUUGUUAUAAUACAAUUAUAUGUAUACAAUGUAAAAAUGUAAUAUAUUGUGUAUAUGUACAAAUGUACAUUUGUUGUGAAAUAUUGUGCAAUAUAAUUGUAAUAUUUUCAAGCCCUAUAUGAAAAAGCUGUUAUUUGCAUGACUGUAUCCUAUGAAUAGUUAUGGAAAUGAAUAAAUAAGCUUUUUAGAAACAGUUUACAGAGUCAUAAACACUUAAAUAUUUGC
RNAcentral lists this long non-coding RNA (6194 nucleotides) under Homo sapiens (human). RNAcentral describes it as "HSALNT0339130". Lineage: Eukaryota; Metazoa; Chordata; Mammalia; Primates; Hominidae. The record is from RNAcentral.